This is a long non-coding RNA of Lycium barbarum (goji berry), 827 nucleotides long. RefSeq lists it as uncharacterized. The transcript has 3 exons. The record is from RefSeq and is a predicted model, not a curated record. NCBI's taxonomy places the organism in Eukaryota, Viridiplantae, Streptophyta, Magnoliopsida, Solanales, Solanaceae.
UUAUCGUAGUUCAGGGGGAGCAUCUACAUCUGGUGAAUUUACUUAUGACACCUCUUUGGUUGUCUUACAUUCUUACCUUAGUGAUCUUGAAGGUAAGUGCAUUACUCGGUUGUCCUGUGAUUGUCUUUUCUUCAAUUACUGAAGCAUGGGCCCAACAAGAACUGGAGUUGAAUGAUAGAGUGCUUCCAGAGUAACUUUGCUUCCUUUCCUUAGUCGUAUGAUAACAUUGCAAUGAAGAAGCUGACGGCAUAUAUGUGAGGGAAACCAAAAGCAUUUGCUUUGCAUAUUCUACAAAUUUCAACAAUACACUUAAGUGGCAAUUUUUUUUUGCACCUAAUUCUCCCAAAAAAAGGUUGUUCAUUGCCUCAAAGUAGGAUUGGCUCUUUCCCUUGUGUCUGUGUUUUAUUACAUGAGGCCUCUGUGUGAAGUUGUUGGAUGGAAUGCUAUGUGGGCUGUUAUGGUAGUUGAAGUAGUAUUUGAGUACACUCUAGGUUCUACACUUUAUAAGUGUGUAAAUACAGCUAUGGUAGCAUGUCUCACUGAAUCUCUAGGAAUUGAUGUUCACGGGUAGGAAGUCAAUCUAAAGAAAGAUUUGAACUUGUUAUUCUCCAAAAAGUAGCUGCAUGUGGUUUGCUCCAAAUUGAUUUGGGCGUGUGAAUCGAACUUCAGGUAUGUCUUCGAUGUCUGCAAAAUAUUUGUUCAUCUCUCUUAUAUUUUGUUUAUUGCUCUUCUCUGUGCCUUUGAUUUUCUCCAACAGCUAACAGUGUGAUUAAUGAAAGCUAGAUGAGGGAUUGUGUAUGUAAUACAUCUUUCCUUUCUUGUGUCUG